Molecule: ribosomal RNA, 477 nt
Filed under: Hexagrammos octogrammus (masked greenling)
Lineage: Eukaryota; Metazoa; Chordata; Actinopteri; Perciformes; Hexagrammidae
Description: partial 12S rRNA
Rfam family: Bacterial small subunit ribosomal RNA
Source: RNAcentral
UACACCCACUAUCCGCCCGGGAACUACGAGCAAAAGCUUAAAACCCAAAGGACUUGGCGGUGCUUUAGAUCCACCUAGAGGAGCCUGUUCUAGAACCGAUAACCCCCGUUCAACCUCACCUUUCCUUGUUUUUCCCGCCUAUAUACCGCCGUCGUCAGCUUACCCUCUGAAGGUCUAAUAGUAAGCAAGACUGGUACAACCUAAAACGUCAGGUCGAGGUGUAGCGUAUGGAAGGGGAAGAAAUGGGCUACAUUCGCUACUACAGCGAAUACGGAGGGUGUACUGAAACGUACACCUGAAGGAGAAUUUAGCAGUAAGCAGGAAAUAGAGCGUCCCGCUGAAAUCGGCCCUGAAGCGCGCACACACCGCCCGUCACUCUCCCCGAAAACACCCACUCAGUUAAUUAAAACCUAAUAAUCAUAGAGGGGAGGCAAGUCGUAACAUGGUAAGUGUACCGGAAGGUGCACUUGGAAAAAU